RNAcentral lists this ribosomal RNA (492 nucleotides) under uncultured bacterium. RNAcentral describes it as "partial 16S ribosomal RNA". It matches the Rfam family "Bacterial small subunit ribosomal RNA", at positions 28 to 507 of the family's 1533-position model. The record is from RNAcentral.
GAUGAACGCUAGCUACAGGCUUAACACAUGCAAGUCGAGGGGAAACGACAUCGAAAGCUUGCUUUUGAUGGGCGUCGACCGGCGCACGGGUGAGUAACGCGUAUCCAACCUGCCCACCACUUGGGGAUAACCUUGCGAAAGUAAGACUAAUACCCAAUGAUAUCUCUAGAAGACAUCUGAAAGAGAUUAAAGAUUUAUCGGUGAUGGAUGGGGAUGCGUCUGAUUAGCUUGUUGGCGGGGUAACGGCCCACCAAGGCAACGAUCAGUAGGGGUUCUGAGAGGAAGGUCCCCCACAUUGGAACUGAGACACGGUCCAAACUCCUACGGGAGGCAGCAGUGAGGAAUAUUGGUCAAUGGACGAGAGUCUGAACCAGCCAAGUGGCGUGCAGGAAGACGGCCCUAUGGGUUGUAAACUGCUUUUAUAAGGGAAUAAAGUGAGUCUCGUGAGACUUUUUGCAUGUACCUUAUGAAUAAGGACCGGCUAAUUCCGUG